This 242-nucleotide ribosomal RNA is filed under the name uncultured bacterium. RNAcentral's name for it is "partial 16S ribosomal RNA". It matches the Rfam family "Bacterial small subunit ribosomal RNA", at positions 8 to 256 of the family's 1533-position model. The record is from RNAcentral.
AGAGUUUGAUCAUGGCUCAGGACGAACGCUGGCGGCAUGCCUUACACAUGCAAGUCGAACGGACCUAGCAAUAGGUUAGUGGCGAACGGGUGAGUAAUACAUGAGCAACCUGCCUCAAACAGGGGGAUAACACCGGGAAACUGGUGCUAAUACCGCAUAAGACCACAGCGCGGCAUCGCGCAGGGGUAAAAACGAUUCAGUGGUUUGAGAUGGGGCUCAUGUCCCAUUAGCUAGUUGGUGAG